RNAcentral lists this long non-coding RNA (1510 nucleotides) under Equus caballus (horse). RNAcentral describes it as "lncRNA (ENSECAG00000029272.2)". The record is from RNAcentral. Lineage: Eukaryota; Metazoa; Chordata; Mammalia; Perissodactyla; Equidae.
UGCUCGCCAUUGCUCCCUUUUGUGAGGCCAUUACGGCCGUCCCCCUGCUCCCUGCCCCGGCGUCCUGGAGCCCAGCCGACCACGAGGGUUUUUCUCCGUGUUGUAUCUUCCCGAAAACCCAGAACCCAAACCCAAGAAAGAACCACUCCUGUUGUCCUCUCUCCCCUCCUCCAGUCCCAAUGACAUUUCCCGGCUUUUGUGUGAGAUGACCCAAAAGCAAGCCCUUCUCCACUCCUCCUCCAUGCAAUGGGGUCCCUAAAAGCUACCCUCACUCCCCUUCUCUCUUACUCACCUGGAGGAAGGGGAAUGGAGAGGAUGGACACCAGAGCCUCCUAUUUCCCAGCAUUUCCACACAGGGAAGACAAGCAUCUCACCGUGCGCACUCCGACAGGAGGGCAGGAGGCGGAAAGGUGGAAUAGCCCAGAAGAGCAGGCUGCUGCCCAGGCCCCUAGGCCACAUCCGAAGGACGUUAAGUCUAGAGCCCCAGGAAGGAAGGCGUCCUGGGUCAGUUUCAUUUCACAUAAACGGACUGUCCCUGGAUCCAGGGAAGCGGAUUCUCCCGUUUCCUCCCUGGUGCCUCAGUCUUUUUGGAGGCGCCCUCUGCUGGCCACUGGGAAGUGCAGGAAAGAACAGAGUCCUGCAGACUCAAAGAGCGUCUACAGAAAGGGACAAGAGGUAGAGACAACCGGGAGCCAACUGAGAGCGGUGGCUGGACUGCCACAAAUAAGAGAGGCAUGCUGAAGCCUUCUUGGAGGCCCCGUUCCAGACCCAGCCAGGGUGAAGAGGACUCCCAGGGGCGGAGAUCGAGGCCCAGGAGAGAACAGAGAGCAUCCUGCUUUAAUUGGAGAGCAUGAAGAGGUGGGCAAGGAUGUUCUGGAACACUGACCAUAGUCCAUCCUGAAUGGAAUUGGACUGACUCGACCCUCUCAUCUCCUGGAGCAGCUGGGUCUAAAGUGUGUGUGCACGGGUACAGACGUACAGGAGGAAAAUAUUAGGACGUCGACUCAUGACAACCGUCCCAGGUGGUGUUGACCCUCCUUGACGGGGAAGCUGCGGCUCAGAGAGGAGGAAUGACUGCAGCUGGAAGAGAGGUGGAGCCAGGACUCAGCCUGCGUGGCUGCACCGUCAGCCCGGCACUCACUUUACACCCACCCUGGCCCUCCACAGGCUGGCCUUUCAGGUGGAAGACAAGCCUUGCCCAGGGGGAAAGAAAAUGUGAGUUAGGCUCCUAACUAUCAAAAUAAUAACGGUGAAGACAAGUCAGAGGCCUGCUGGGUUCCAGACACUGUGCAGGCGAGUCAGGUGUUGAACCCAGAACUCCUACCCCCACUCCUCUGGGGCCAGUGCAAUGCCCUGGGCUACACAGCCGGCACAUGCAUGUGUGCACACACACACCCCCAGGUGGUAUGAGUCCCUGCAUGUCCCAGGGGACAGGGUGUCCCAGCCGCUUCGCUCCCCUCUGAUAACCCAGCCGCUUCCAGCAGGACAGGCACGUACCCUUCAGGCUGAC